This is a long non-coding RNA of Hyla sarda, 821 nucleotides long. RefSeq lists it as uncharacterized. The transcript has 3 exons. Lineage: Eukaryota; Metazoa; Chordata; Amphibia; Anura; Hylidae. The record is from RefSeq and is a predicted model, not a curated record.
UAUGUAAAGCAGAAGAAAAACCUGGGGACACCAUCUCUUUUCCUCCACCAUCCACCAUCCUCCAAGUCCCUAUUUACUUCCAGUGGUGCAUCACCAGGCCCAGGAGCACCAGUAUCUGGAGGCUAAAGGCCAACCCGGGGCCCAUGCCACACUGCUUUACAACACCACCAUGAUGACUACAGUUGCCUCCAGAUCCCCUCCUGCCCCCACUGCUGCAACAAACAAGACAAACCACAUACAAGGGGUGGGCGGGAACUUCUCUGUUGGCCAAUGUGUCAACUGACCCCUCUUUUUCCACCCUAACCAUAUCUGAUAGGAUAACCAGCCCCUCUGUCAGUGGGGCUUGCAGCCAUAGCAACAGAAUGAUGCCGCUACCGCUGCAGACACUUGGGCUGUCACUAGACCUCAGGCAGAUAUCACUUCACAUACCAAGGAAUCUUCAGUCAUGGAUUUUUGGCUAAAGAACAUCACAAAAUGUAUCAAAUAGCCGGAGAGGAAGGCGCCUGCUGUAUCCUUAGCAAACAUCAACCACACAGAUCAAGAAGAUGGGAAGCAGCGGGACAUGUUUUUUUUUUUUGAUGUGAUGAGACGUUGAGCCUUGUAGUUCAGCACAGAAUCUGCUGGACAGCUCCUCAGUGAGGUUCAAUACUCGCAGUUAUCGGCCGCAGCGUCUUUUCCGUGUGAUCAGCCCAGAUGACCAUGAUGACUUCCUCCAGCCACAACUUGUCUCAGCAGAAUCUGCCGAACUAAUAUCUUCCCAACUUUGUGGGGGACCCCCUUGGCAUAGGGGCCCAUUGGAAACUGCAACCCCUCUUGCUACA